Hyla sarda is the source of this 444-nucleotide long non-coding RNA. RefSeq lists it as uncharacterized. The record is from RefSeq and is a predicted model, not a curated record. The transcript is spliced from 3 exons. Lineage: Eukaryota; Metazoa; Chordata; Amphibia; Anura; Hylidae.
GCAACCAAUCAGUUCGCUUUAUGCAGAGGCCUUGUUAACAAUGAAAAAAGCGAUCAGCUUGGUUGCUAUGGGCAACUGGGCAACUUUUUAUCUGGACAGUUUUCUGUUAAUCUCUCUCUCUCUAUAUAUAUAUCAUUACAUAUCUUAACAAGCAGAGAAGAUGGCGGAAGCAGCCCUGGAGAAUCCAACUACUUCACAAGCAGAUGAAACAACCAAAGCUGGAUGAUCUCCUCCAUUUACUCCAUCUCUUCCAUGAGCGUGUUAACCAAUCGACGACGGCAGAUGGGUUGCUGGUCGAGACACGACCACUGGCUGAUAACGGGAGCUCAGGCCUCUCGCUGCAACUCCUGCUGCCACUCGCCCCUAGUCUGCUGCCAACUCUGCCUGAAGUAUUUAGGUCUCUGCCACUCCUCUGUGCACGUCCUGGCACUUCUCUGCCUGACA